Molecule: long non-coding RNA, 1360 nt
Filed under: Monodelphis domestica (gray short-tailed opossum)
Lineage: Eukaryota; Metazoa; Chordata; Mammalia; Didelphimorphia; Didelphidae
Description: lncRNA (ENSMODG00000034384.2)
Source: RNAcentral
AUGAUGAGCCAAGGGGAGGGCCGAAGACUUCUGAGCAGAGGAAGGGAUGAGGAGAGGGUUCGUCUUUCCAAAGAAGACUUGGUGGUUGGCCGGAGAAUGGUCUACAGAGACACACCUGGAAGUGGAGAACCCAUGCGGGGCCAAGUCCAGGGUCCCCGGGACGAAAAGGCUGUGACUGUGUCUGCAUCAGGCUCAAGGACAGGCCGGACAUCAGGAGGAGAGGCAGAGCUCCCCCAAGCUUUCCCAGAGCCCAGCAGAAAGGCCCCGGCUGGGGGGAUGCGCUCUGCUCGAAGGCUCCCCAGGAGCUGGGGCUUAGCCUCUGCGCCCCACAAGUACUUGCUUCUCUCUGCUGGACUCUGAAUGCGCCUGGCAGAAGUGUGCGGCGGACUUCUGGGGGGCGGGAGCCGUCCCGCGCAGCGAUGCCCAGCAAAUGCACGUCUGCAAGAGGUAACAAAGUCUGGCUGACCCAUGGAUAUCAAUGGAUAGGCAUGGGGGAGCCAUAUGGGUGGAGGCCCCAAGUUAAAGCCCAAGAAUGGCCAAGGAACAGAAAAGAAAGGGGGGCCAUGGGUGGAAAGGCAUGGGUGAGGGAACAGGAAGACCUUUGUCGUCAUUGCUCCAUUAUAGAAGUCAUUUCUGCCUUUUCGUGACGGCAUUUGGGGUUUUCUUGGCAGGAGGACUGGAGAGAUCUGCCAUUCCCUUCUCCAGUUUAUUUCUAGAUUGGGAAACUGAGGCAAACAGGGUUAAAUGACUUGCCCAGGAUCCCAUAGCUAGUAAGCAUCUGAGGCUGGAUUUGAACUUGGAUUCUUCUGAUCCCAGGCCCAGUGUUCUAUCCACUAAGCCACUAGGUCCCCCAUGAGGACCUUAAAGACCAGCUAGUCCAAUUCACCCAUUGUUCCCCUGAGGAAAAGAAGGUAUCCAGCAGUGACAUAACUACCCAAAGAAGGGUCACAAAUAAGGGACCAAGCUGCAUUAGAACCCAGACUUCCUGCUUCGGAAUCCGAGGAUCUCUUUACAAUGUGAAAGAGUUACUGAAAGGAUUCUCCUCCUCUCUUAGAGAUGAGGAAGUUGAAGCUCACCUGGAUGACUUGCCAAGGGUGACGGAGCCACUGAGUGUCAGAAUCAAGAUUUAAACCCAGCGCCAGUGGCCUUUUCCUGUCCCCAUAUGACUCUUUGUCCUGCAAGAAGGUAUAGAAAGUGAUAGCUCCUUUAAAAUAGCCAUGGACAGAAUACAAUACUCAGGAGUGUACCCGGCAAAACAAACCCCAGAAACAUGAACAUAAUCAUAAAAACAUUCUUUACACAAAUCAAGUCAGCUUUGAAAAAUUGGAGAAAUAGUCAUUGUCCAUGGGUGGGCAGAGCC